RNAcentral lists this transfer RNA (73 nucleotides) under Patiria miniata (bat star). RNAcentral's name for it is "tRNA-Leu". It matches the Rfam family "tRNA". From Rfam's summary of the family: Transfer RNA (tRNA) molecules are approximately 80 nucleotides in length. Their secondary structure includes four short double-helical elements and three loops (D, anti-codon, and T loops). Further hydrogen bonds mediate the characteristic L-shaped molecular structure. tRNAs have two regions of fundamental functional importance: the anti-codon, which is responsible for specific mRNA codon recognition, and the 3' end, to which the tRNAs corresponding amino acid is attached (by aminoacyl-tRNA synthetases). tRNAs cope with the degeneracy of the genetic code in two manners: having more than one tRNA (with a specific anti-codon) for a particular amino acid; and 'wobble' base-pairing, i.e. permitting non-standard base-pairing at the 3rd anti-codon position. The record is from Rfam by way of RNAcentral. Lineage: Eukaryota; Metazoa; Echinodermata; Asteroidea; Valvatida; Asterinidae.
UGCUCGGUGGUCGAGUGGUAAGACGUCUGCACCAGACAGCAGGAGGUCGUGGGUUCAAGCCCCACCCGAGUGA